GACGAACGCUGGCGGCGUGCCUAACACAUGCAAGUCGAACGGAGAUACGAUUUCGGUUGUAUCUUAGUGGCGAACGGGUGAGUAACGCGUGAGCAACCUGACUCUUAGAGGGGGAUAACAUUCGGAAACGGGUGCUAAUACCGCAUAAGACCACGACAUGGCAUCAUGACGAGGUCAAAGGAGCAAUCCGCUGAGAGAGGGGCUCGCGUCCCAUUAGAUAGAUGGCGGGGUAAUGGCCCACCAUGUCAGCGAUGGGUAGCCGAGCUGAGAGGCUGAUCGGCCACACUGGAACUGAGACACGGUCCAGACUCCUACGGGAGGCAGCAGUGGGGAAUAUUGGGCAAUGGGCGCAAGCCUGACCCAGCAACGCCGCGUGAGGGAAGAAGGCUUUCGGGUUGUAAACCUCUGUCCUUGGUGACGAAAAAAAUGACGGUAGCCAAGGAGGAAGCCCCGGCUAACUACGUAGCCAAGCAGCCGCGGUAAACUAGUCUACG
Molecule: ribosomal RNA, 494 nt
Filed under: uncultured bacterium
Lineage: Bacteria
Description: bacterial SSU rRNA
Rfam family: Bacterial small subunit ribosomal RNA
Source: RNAcentral